This 274-nucleotide ribosomal RNA is filed under the name uncultured bacterium. RNAcentral's name for it is "partial 16S ribosomal RNA". It matches the Rfam family "Bacterial small subunit ribosomal RNA", at positions 523 to 796 of the family's 1533-position model. The record is from RNAcentral.
ACACGAACCGGACAAACGUUAUUCGGAAUUAUUGGGCUUAAAGGGUGCGUAGGCGGCGCGGUAAGUGAGGUGUGGAAGCCCACGACUCAAUCGUGGAAUUGCGCUUCAUACUGCCGUGCUAGAGGGAGACAGAGGUAAGCGGAACUGAUGGUGGAGCGGUGAAAUGCGUUGAUAUUAUCAGGAACACCGGUGGCGAAGGCGGCUUACUGGGUCUCUUCUGACGCUGAGGCACGAAAGCUAGGGUAGCGAACGGGAUUAGAAACCCCAGUAGUCC